UUGAGGAGAAAAGAGGGGGAGAAGGUGUGCCAGGUCAUGGGGAAGGUGAAGGGGUAGUGAUCAGGGUGGGAGGAGGCACCACCGUGCUGGCGUGGCCGUGCCGUGCCACGGUGGUGAGUGCGUGCGUGCCAGAGGUAGAAGAAGGAAGCAGGGUGUUGUGUGUGAAGGAAAUAGAAGUCUAGGGGGUUAUGCGUAAAAGCUCUGGGUUUGAGCGUUAGGUGGAAUUUCUCUCAGGGACCUAGGCGCUAGAUGUGAGGUCUGUUUUGAAAAAUGAAGGGUAGAUCUUUUAGGAAAUAAGGUUCCCAGGGGCCUCGGUGUGAAAGUAGUUUAGUUAAUAGUUGUAAAUCUUCGCUGAAACUUAUGAAAUCCAUAGUAAAACGUAGAAAAUUGGUAAAAAUACGAAAUAAAUUUUGUUGGGUUCCUGAUGGUUAGAUCCACAUAGGAAAAAUACUUGUCCUUAUGAAAUAUGUGUUUCUGUUGCAGAUUAAAAUACAUGUUGUCUAAUCUCAUUAAUUUAGUAUAAAUAGCUUGAGUACUCAUAAAAUCCUGAUAAAUCUGUAGUAAUAUAUUCCUAUGUGGAAAAGUAUUCUAGGAAGCUUGUAGAACCAAAUUGCUUAUAUAACUUUAGAUAUGAAUUAUUCUUCAUAUUUGCAGUUUUGCAAUGUUUGAUUUCAAAUAAAUUCUGUGGGAGUCCAAUCAUGCUGAAAGGUUUACAGUAAUGUGUUUGUGUGAUUAGUAAGCUCAUGAAAAUGAUUUAUAUUGAUAUAACAUAGAAUGAUUCUUGAAUAAUUAUUCUUUCUAUAAACUAGUUUAAAUUAUUAAAAAUACUUGCUGCUGGAAUUAUGGGCUAAUAAAUUAUUUUUAUGCUGUUUAUCAAUAGCAUGCUCGUCCCUGAAAAGUUUGCUAGCAGAAUCUCUAUGGUUGCUUGUAUAUGUCACUUAUUUGGCCUCUAGUAUGUUAUUGCUAUAGUUUCAC
Molecule: long non-coding RNA, 975 nt
Filed under: Setaria viridis
Lineage: Eukaryota; Viridiplantae; Streptophyta; Magnoliopsida; Poales; Poaceae
Description: long non-coding RNA (SVIR_LNC007805)
Source: RNAcentral